RNAcentral lists this ribosomal RNA (399 nucleotides) under Triticum aestivum (bread wheat). Its description in RNAcentral is "partial small subunit ribosomal RNA". The record is from RNAcentral. Lineage: Eukaryota; Viridiplantae; Streptophyta; Magnoliopsida; Poales; Poaceae.
AUGAUUUGGAAGCAUCAAAAUGACCUGUCUUCAACAGGAGUUCGCCUAAUAUCCAAAGGGUUCUUGGCUGGACGGAGCAUCUCCGAAAACUUUGUAUGCGCCGCGGAGGUCAUCCAGUGUUGUCACGGACGUCGCGCCCCAACGCUCGUCUUCAAGCUGGACUUCGCCAAGGCAUUUGACUCUGUCGACUGGGGCGCGCUACGCCGCAUCCUCGAGGUGCGGGGGUUCCCGGAUCAAUGGUGCUCUUGGAUGGAUUUGAUCUUCCGGUCCUCCCGUUCGGCGGUGCUUCUGAACGGCGUCCCUGGGAAAUGGUUCACGGUGCGCCGGUGGCUGCAACAGGGGGACCCGAGCUCGCCCUACCUCUUCCUCAUCAUCGCCGACGUUUUGCAACAGAUGAUC